This 301-nucleotide ribosomal RNA is filed under the name uncultured bacterium. RNAcentral's name for it is "partial 16S ribosomal RNA". It matches the Rfam family "Bacterial small subunit ribosomal RNA", at positions 509 to 809 of the family's 1533-position model. The record is from RNAcentral.
CAGCCGCCACGGUAAUACGGAGGGUGCAAGCGUUAAUCGGAAUUACUGGGCGUAAAGCGUGCGCAGGCGGUUUUGUAAGACAGAGGUGAAAUCCCCGGGCUCAACCUGGGAACUGCCUUUGUGACUGCAAGGCUAGAGUACGGCAGAGGGGGAUGGAAUUCCGCGUGUAGCAGUGAAAUGCGUAGAUAUGCGGAGGAACACCGAUGGCGAAGGCAAUCCCCUGGGCCUGUACUGACGCUCAUGCACGAAAGCGUGGGGAGCAAACAGGAUUAGAUACCCGAGUAGUCCCUGUCUCUUAUAA